GGAGUUAGCCGGUGCUUCUUCUGCGAGUAACGUCACAGAUGUAAGGUAUUAACUUACACCCUUUCCUCCUCGCUGAAAGUGCUUUACAACCCGAAGGCCUUCUUCACACACGCGGCAUGGCUGCAUCAGGGUUUCCCCCAUUGUGCAAUAUUCCCCACUGCUGCCUCCCGUAGGAGUCUGGGCCGUGUCUCAGUCCCAGUGUGGCUGAUCAUCCUCUCAGACCAGCUAGGGAUCGUCGCCUAGGUGAGCCUUUACCUCACCUACUAGCUAAUACCACCUGGGCUUAUCCAUCAGCGCAAGGCCCGAAGGUCCCCUGCUUUCCCCCGUAGGGCGUAUGCGGUAUUAGCAGUCGUUUCCAACUGUUAUCCCCCACAAAUGGGCAAAUUCCCAGGCAUUACUCACCCGUCCGCCGCUCGUCAUCUUCAAAAGCAAGCUUUUGAAAUGUUACCGCUCGACUUGCAUGUGUUAGGCCUGCCGCCAGCGUUCAAUCUGAGCCAUGAUCAAACUCUGA
Molecule: ribosomal RNA, 511 nt
Filed under: uncultured bacterium
Lineage: Bacteria
Description: partial 16S ribosomal RNA
Source: RNAcentral